AGCCCAGCUUGCUGGGUGGAUUAGUGGCGAACGGGUGAGUAACACGUGAGUAACCUGCCCUUAACUCUGGGAUAAGCCUGGGAAACUGGGUCUAAUACCGGAUAGGAGCGUCCACCGCAUGGUGGGUGUUGGAAAGAUUUAUCGGUUUUGGAUGGACUCGCGGCCUAUCAGCUUGUUGGUGAGGUAAUGGCUCACCAAGGCGACGACGGGUAGCCGGCCUGAGAGGGUGACCGGCCACACUGGGACUGAGACACGGCCCAGACUCCUACGGGAGGCAGCAGUGGGGAAUAUUGCACAAUGGGCGAAAGCCUGAUGCAGCGACGCCGCGUGAGGGAUGACGGCCUUCGGGUUGUAAACCUCUUUCAGUAGGGAAGAAGCGAAAGUGACGGUACCUGCAGAAGAAGCACCGGCUAACUACGUGCCAGCAGCCGCGGUAAUACGUAGGGUGCGAGCGUUAUCCGGAAUUAUUGGGCGUAAAGAGCUCGUAGGCGGUUUGUCGCGUCUGUCGUGAAAGUCCGGGGCUUAACCCCGGAUCUGCGGUGGGUACGGGCAGACUAGAGUGCAGUAGGGGAGACUGGAAUUCCUGGUGUAGCGGUGGAAUGCGCAGAUAUCAGGAGGAACACCGAUGGCGAAGGCAGGUCUCUGGGCUGUAACUGACGCUGAGGAGCGAAAGCAUGGGGAGCGAACAGGAUUAGAUACCCUGGUAGUCCAUGCCGUAAACGUUGGGCACUAGGUGUGGGGACCAUUCCACGGUUUCCGCGCCGCAGCUAACGCAUUAAGUGCCCCGCCUGGGGAGUACGGCCGC
Molecule: ribosomal RNA, 805 nt
Filed under: Micrococcus sp.
Lineage: Bacteria; Bacillati; Actinomycetota; Actinomycetes; Micrococcales; Micrococcaceae
Description: bacterial SSU rRNA
Rfam family: Bacterial small subunit ribosomal RNA
Source: RNAcentral